Molecule: long non-coding RNA, 225 nt
Filed under: Mytilus galloprovincialis (Mediterranean mussel)
Lineage: Eukaryota; Metazoa; Mollusca; Bivalvia; Mytilida; Mytilidae
Source: RNAcentral
CAGGGGCGGAUCCAGGAUUUCAGAUUAGGGGGGGCGCAAUGUUAAAAUUUCGCCGAGCGGAGCGAGGCGAAAUUUUUGUUUGAGGUAUAAUUAUCGAAAUUAUUGGAAUAUUCUUCUAAAGAGGGUGUAAUGUAGAUAUCUUGCAUGGCAAGCAAAACGUGGCGAAUAUUUUGUGUUAAAAUAAUCGAGAAAUUAAAGUUUCAAGCUAAAACCGCAUAAAUCCAC